RNAcentral lists this ribosomal RNA (139 nucleotides) under uncultured Methanosaeta sp. Its description in RNAcentral is "partial 16S ribosomal RNA". It matches the Rfam family "Archaeal small subunit ribosomal RNA", at positions 1199 to 1338 of the family's 1478-position model. Lineage: Archaea; Methanobacteriati; Methanobacteriota; Methanomicrobia; Methanotrichales; Methanotrichaceae. The record is from RNAcentral.
UGGGUAGUCUACCCCGAAAGGGACGGGAAUCUCCUAAACCAAUCUUAGUUCGGAUUGAGGGCUGCAACUCGCCCUCAUGAAGCUGGAAUCCGUAGUAAUCGCGUUUCAACAGAACGCGGUGAAUACGUCCCUGCUCCUU